This is a long non-coding RNA of Oncorhynchus tshawytscha (Chinook salmon), 520 nucleotides long. Lineage: Eukaryota; Metazoa; Chordata; Actinopteri; Salmoniformes; Salmonidae. The record is from Ensembl.
AAGGGCAGGUGGGUGGAGGAAGGGCAGGAGGGUGGAGGAAGGGCAGGAGGGUGGAGGAAGGGCAGGUGGGUGGAGGAAGGGCAGGAGGGUGGAGGAAGGGCAGGUGGGUGGAGGAAGGGCAGGUGGGUGGAGGAAGGGCAGGAGGGUGGAGGAAGGGCAGGAGGGUGGAGGAAGGGCAGGAGGGUGGAGGAAGGGCAGGAGGGUGGAGGAAGGGCAGGAGGGUGGAGGAAGGGCAGGUGGGUGGAGGAAGGGCAGGAGGGUGGAGGAAGGGCAGGAGGGUGGAGGAAGGGCAGGUGGGUGGAGGAAGGGCAGGUGGGUGGAGGAAGGGCAGGAGGGUGGAGGAAGGGCAGGAGGGUGGAGGAAGGGCAGGAGGGUGGAGGAAGGGCAGGUGGGUGGAGGGUGGGCAGGAGGGUGGAGGAAGGGCUGGGUGGUGGAGGAAGGGCAGGUGGGUGGAGGAACGGGCAGGAGGGUGGAGGAAGGGCAGGUGGGUGGAUGGCGGGCAGGGUUGGAGGAAGGGCAG